UUGGAGGGCAAGUCUGGUGCCAGCAGCCGCGGUAAUUCCAGCUCCAAUAGCGUAUAUUAAAGUUGUUGCAGUUAAAAAGCUUGUAGUUGAAUUUCGGGAUCAGCACGUCGGUCGUGCCUCAGGUAUGCACCGGCGUCGCUGGUUUCUCCCUUUUGACGAGCCGUGAUGCCAUUAAUUUGGUGUUGCGGGGAAUCAGGACUGUUACUUUGAAAAAAUUAGAGUGUUUAAAGCGGGCACUUGCUUGAAUACCUUAGCAUGGAAUAACGAAAUAGGACGUUCGAUCUUAUUUUGUUGGUUUCUAGGAUUGACGUAAUGAUUAAUAGGGAUAGUUGGGGGCAUUAGUAUUCAAUUGUCAGAGGUGAAAUUCUUGGAUUUAUUGAAGACUAACUACUGCGAAAGCAUUUGCCAAGGAUGUUUUCAUUAAUCAAGAACGAAAGUUAGGGGAUCGAAGACGAUCAGAUACCGUCGUAGUCUUAACCAUAAACUAUGCCGACUAGGGAUCGGAUGAUGUUAAUUUUUUAAUGACUCAUUCGGCGCCUUACGGGAAAC
This 549-nucleotide ribosomal RNA is filed under the name uncultured Glomeromycotina. Its description in RNAcentral is "SSU rRNA". It matches the Rfam family "Eukaryotic small subunit ribosomal RNA", at positions 548 to 1098 of the family's 1831-position model. Lineage: Eukaryota; Fungi; Glomeromycota. The record is from RNAcentral.